Esox lucius (northern pike) is the source of this 819-nucleotide long non-coding RNA. The record is from Ensembl. NCBI's taxonomy places the organism in Eukaryota, Metazoa, Chordata, Actinopteri, Esociformes, Esocidae.
GUGAGACGGUGCAUUGUUCUAGUGACAGGCUGAAUAUGUCAGUGAGACAGUGCAUUGUUCUAGUGACAGGCUGAACUUGUGUUUAAACUUGUCAUACAGAGCUGUUCCAGUAACUAUGUAGCCAGUCUCUGCAGUUUAACACUCACUAUACAGAGCUGUUCCAGUAAAUAUGUAGUCAGUCUUGUUGUUUCACACCUCACUACACUGUUAAUGGACAUCACUUCCUUUAUUAUAACCUGUCAGUGGAAGGCAUUUGAAUGCAGCUGCCGUGUGUGUGUGUGGUCUUUGUGUGUGUGCAUGUGUCUGUGUGUGUGUAUCUGUGAGUGUGUGUGUCUUUGUGUGUGUGUGAGUUUGUGUGUGUGUGUCUGCGUGUGUGUGUGUGUGUCUGUGUUUGUGUCUGUGUGUGUCUGUGUGUGUGUGUCUCUGUGUCUGUUUGUCUGUGUGUGUGUGUUUGUGUGUCUGUGUGUGUGCUCAUGUGCAUGUUUGUGUGUAGGUAUGUAUAGCAGGAAAUCACCUGCCUUUGAUAGAAAAGCAAUAUGCAAAACACAGAAAUAAAUUAUAUCAACAACCACUGAUCUACACUAUACUAUACUAUACUACACUACAACACACUAUACUAUACUAUACUACACUACACUACACUACACUACAAAACACUAUACUACACUACAAUACACUACAAAACACUAUACUAUACUAUGCUAUACUAUGCUGACAAAACACUAUACUAUACUGUGCUAUACUAUGCUGACAAGGUGGGAUGAGGCUGGAUAAGUCUGGAUGACUGAGGUUAGAUAAGAAUGGGUGUGUCUAGGUGAG